RNAcentral lists this long non-coding RNA (611 nucleotides) under Physcomitrium patens. RNAcentral describes it as "long non-coding RNA (PPAT_LNC011124)". The record is from RNAcentral. Lineage: Eukaryota; Viridiplantae; Streptophyta; Bryopsida; Funariales; Funariaceae.
UCUAAAUUUUAAGCAAAUUCUAAAUCCUAAAUCCUAAGAAAAUCUUAAAUUAAAUUCUAAAUCCUAAUCUAAUCCUAAAUUCUAAUCCAACCUUAAUCCUAAACCAAAUCCUAACUAAAACCUAAUCAAUUCAAUCUAACUCUAGCAAAAUUUAGAACCUCAAUGUCUACUGAUUAAAUUAUUGAUCUUAUUUUAAAUUUUAUAUACUUCUCAAAAAUUCAAUUAGCAACAAACAUAUAAUAUUUGGAGAUAAUUUUAUUUACCAAAUGGAAGAAAAAUCCUAGAAUUUGCUGAGGUAUUGGCUUAUUUCCUACUCCAAUCUAAAUGUUGAACUUUCAAUAUCAAUAUUUCCUUUUCAAACUAUUCAAUUCUUCUCAAAUUUCAUGUAUGUGUAGAAAAUCAAGUUUUUUAUCUUCAUACACAAAUUUCAUUAUAAUCCAACUUGUAAAAUGCUGAAGAUCCUAGAAAUCCCAACUACCCUUCAAAGUCUAAUUUCCAAAAUUUCAACCUACUUGAAAUUCAAUAGCCUUCAAUUCAACCAUUCAAAUAUAUAGCAUACACUUCAAAUAACUAUUUUUAUAAAUCUUCAAAAUUUGAAUCAAAGAUCUACU